RNAcentral lists this ribosomal RNA (253 nucleotides) under uncultured bacterium. Its description in RNAcentral is "partial 16S ribosomal RNA". It matches the Rfam family "Bacterial small subunit ribosomal RNA", at positions 524 to 776 of the family's 1533-position model. The record is from RNAcentral.
UACGAAGGGGGCUAGCGUUGUUCGGAAUUACUGGGCGUAAAGCGCACGUAGGCGGGUUGUUAAGUCAGGGGUGAAAUCCUGGAGCUCAACUCCAGAACUGCCUUUGAUACUGGCAACCUAGAGACUGGAAGAGGUUAGUGGAAUUCCCAGUGUAGAGGUGAAAUUCGUAGAUAUUCGGAGGAACACCAGUGGCGAAGGCGGCUCACUGGUCCAUUACUGACGCUGAGGUGCGAAAGCGUGGGGAGCAAACAGG